GACAGAGGGUGCAAACGUUGUUCGGAAUUACUGGGCGUAAAGCGCGUGUAGGCGGUUCCGCAAGUCAGGUGUGAAAGCCCAGGGCUCAACCCUGGAAGUGCACUUGAUACUACGGAGCUUGAGUACUGAAGAGGAGAGCGGAAUUCCCGGUGUAGAGGUGAAAUUCGUAGAUAUCGGGAGGAACACCAGUGGCGAAGGCGGCUCACUGGCCCGAUACUGACGCUGAGGUGCGAAAGCGUGGGGAGCAAACAGG
RNAcentral lists this ribosomal RNA (253 nucleotides) under uncultured bacterium. RNAcentral's name for it is "partial 16S ribosomal RNA". It matches the Rfam family "Bacterial small subunit ribosomal RNA", at positions 524 to 776 of the family's 1533-position model. The record is from RNAcentral.